RNAcentral lists this ribosomal RNA (497 nucleotides) under uncultured bacterium. RNAcentral describes it as "partial 16S ribosomal RNA". It matches the Rfam family "Bacterial small subunit ribosomal RNA", at positions 28 to 507 of the family's 1533-position model. The record is from RNAcentral.
GAUGAACGCUGGCGGCGUGCCUAAUACAUGCAAGUCGAGCGAACAGAUGAGGAGCUUGCUCCUCUGACGUUAGCGGCGGACGGGUGAGUAACACGUGGAUAACCUACCUAUAAGACUGGGAUAACUUCGGGAAACCGGAGCUAAUACCGGAUAAUAUAUUGAGCCGCAUGGUUCAAUAGUGAAAGACGGUUUUGCUGUCACUUAUAGAUGGAUCCGCGCCGCAUUAGCUAGUUGGUAAGGUAACGGCUUACCAAGGCAACGAUGCGUAGCCGACCUGAGAGGGUGAUCGGCCACACUGGAACUGAGACACGGUCCAGACUCCUACGGGAGGCAGCAGUAGGGAAUCUUCCGCAAUGGGCGAAAGCUUGACGGAGCAACGCCGCGUGAGUGAUGAAGGUCUUCGGAUCGUAAAACUCUGUUAUUAGGGAAGAACAAAUGUGUAAGUAACUAUGCACGUCUUGACGGUACCUAAUCAGAAAGCCACGGCUAACUACGUG